GCGGUUGUGGCUCAGUGGUAGAGUGCUUGCUUUAGCAUGUGUGAGGCACUGGGUUCUGUUCUCAGCACUGCA
RNAcentral lists this transfer RNA (72 nucleotides) under Marmota monax (woodchuck). Its description in RNAcentral is "tRNA.Undet". The record is from RNAcentral. Lineage: Eukaryota; Metazoa; Chordata; Mammalia; Rodentia; Sciuridae.